Eucalyptus grandis is the source of this 2302-nucleotide long non-coding RNA. RefSeq lists it as uncharacterized. The transcript has 6 exons. Lineage: Eukaryota; Viridiplantae; Streptophyta; Magnoliopsida; Myrtales; Myrtaceae. The record is from RefSeq and is a predicted model, not a curated record.
CGCCUUUGUCGGUCGGUCAUCAAGCAGCCCAAUAGUACUCUCUGUUUUCGUUUUCGAUUUCUUCAUCGAAUGUUACGAUUUCGGUGUGCUGCGAUUUUGUCUCUUUUGCUACUUGCAAUGGCACCAGCCAGCCACCACAUCGGGAGUUCGAGGCGUUCCUGAGUUUCAGGGGACCGACGCUCGGACAACUUGUACUGGUUGCUUCCGCAGUGCAAUGGUGGAGAAAGAAAUCCGUGUCAAAGACCACGAAGAGGUCCAAGUUGGUCAGAAGAUUGGUGGAAACGACACUGACAUCUAUAAGGAUUCUCUUACAAGGUCCGAGUUGGUAGAUUGCACUUCAAAGUCGGACGGGAGAGCAUCACUAUACAAUUUGGUUUUGAGCUUGACAUCAUCCGUCUCCAUGUUGAAUUUUGGAUCUGGAGACGGAUGAUGUCAAGCUUAAAAUCAAAUCCUGUUGCUCCUGUCUCUUCCCAGUAGAUACGAAAGGUAAAAAAACAAGUGGUUCGAGCACUCUUUGUGGGUAUUAGUAAUGACUUGACACUUGAAGAAUUAGCCUGUUUGCCAAAGCUAAGGUUUCUUGAAGUGGGAAGAAUUAAUUCCAUAGGCAACUUUAAAAAUCUUCUUCGUACUUUGAGAUGGCUUGCUUGGCAUCAUUGCCUGCAGCAUCUCUUAGCGAUGAAAUCUUCACCUGGUGUAUUUGGCCGUGCUCGACUUUUCGCGAAGCAACAUCACUGACUGACUGAGGUGGAUAGAGGCAAAUUGAGGUUAUAUAAGCUUUCGAACUCUAUUGGAGAGCUAGAAUCAUUGGUCCAGUUGGAUUUAGUCCAAUUCUAUUGGAAAUCUCAUGAGACUAAAAGCUCAUUAGGGUGCCACACACAAAGAUACACACGAUACCUUGUGCUUUUUGGGGGGUGGAGACGCUUAAAGUGCUCAAUGCCUCAUUCUGAGGAUCUUGGACUUAGAUGGGCCCCUAAUCUCCACAAUUCUAUCAUAGGUCAGUGGUUUCUCUAGUCUGCAAAUGCUUAAAAUUACAAGCCAAAGAGCUUCCCUCAAGUUUGAAAUAUCCACCGGUUGAAGCUGUUGGGUUCCCCAUUCUUCCCAACCUGUUAAGCCUAGAUCAAAGUGUGUGGAAGACAUCCAACUAUUGCAUUUUGGUGUGUGAAUGAUGUUAUUUCGCCUUGGAAGGACAGGCAGUCCAUCCAUCGGCUUCCAUGUAUCUUAUCAGCCUUGAAACUUGGCUGGAUCCUGCAAUUGCCAGAUUUUUGCUACUUCAAAAGCUUGUCGGUCCUCUCUGUCAGCAGAUGGCCAUUGCCACACUUACCCAUCCUUAUAUACUUGGAGAGUUUAAGGGAAUUGGAGAUAUCGUGGUGCGAAUUCCUGGAGAGCACAUGUGAUCUAUCUUGCUUGAAGAGGCUACAAAAAUUACAGCUCAGUGACUUACCCAAACUGGCGGAGAUUCCAGGUUUGGGGGAACUGGAAUUACUGAAGUUUCUACACAUUUUCAGGUAUAAUGCAAUCAAACGAUUGCCUAACCUGUCAAAGUUCAAAAUCUACAGCAUCCUAAGCUAGAUGGUUGUGAAAAGAUGAUAGCUGUCAAAGGCUUGAAAAGAGUUGAAUUUAUUGAAGAAGGUGGAGAUCGCACAUUGCCUACCCCCUGAAAAGCUUGCUUGAUGUGCUGGCUGGCAAUUGCGAUUUACAGCAUUGCAGGACAAAUAAGCCUGAAGCAGAAUGCAUCAUCUUGAAAAUGCAGGGACUUCCAAUGAAAGCACAUUGUGUACGGAUUUGAGCUCGUGCUUUAUAAGUUGGACGAGCACAAAAGGUGUGGAAGUGCAGCAUGGUCAAAAUCUGCAGGUGCGUUCUGAUUACAUCAAAGUAAAACAGAGGGUUUCAUUUCGGCUUUUGUUUGCUAACCUGUUGAACUGACCUGGAAAAGAGGCAGAGAAAGAGUUGGCAGCAGGUAUUCAGAAGGGCAUUUUGCUCAUCAAAAAGUGAACGAGUGGAUUGAAGAGAAAGACGUGGAUUUUUUGCGAGAAAAAAGAUGUACUCUACAUAAGCUUCUACUCAUCUCUCUACUCAAAAUUGGUUCCUUGCGCUAAUGAAUGUUUGUGCAUCAUUGUACUGUGCAUCUCGGCUGUGUUCAUGUUCGCAUCUCCCGACUUUCUGAUGCACCUUUAGAGUCUCCUCCAAGUGAACCUAUCCUGUGUGACGCUGCAACAAGCAAAUGGUAGACAGAAGGGGCCGAGUGAAGGCCGUAGUACUUCAGUGUUGGCGAGCAUUGAAAUUCAAGAUACGCGGACGAAGG